AUUCCUACGGGAGGUGGCACGGGGGAAUAUGGUGCAAUGGGUGAAAGCCUGACCCUAACUUGUCGCGAGUGUGUAGAAGGCCUUCGGGUCGUAUAGAACAUUUUGAGGGGAGGAAAGAGGGCUUCACUCACUAGGGGGGGCUGACGUGGCUUCCGAAAAAGGACCGGCUAAUUACAUGCCAGUAGCCGCGGUAAU
This 195-nucleotide ribosomal RNA is filed under the name uncultured bacterium. RNAcentral's name for it is "partial 16S ribosomal RNA". It matches the Rfam family "Bacterial small subunit ribosomal RNA", at positions 335 to 524 of the family's 1533-position model. The record is from RNAcentral.